RNAcentral lists this transfer RNA (74 nucleotides) under Camelus dromedarius (Arabian camel). It matches the Rfam family "tRNA". From Rfam's summary of the family: Transfer RNA (tRNA) molecules are approximately 80 nucleotides in length. Their secondary structure includes four short double-helical elements and three loops (D, anti-codon, and T loops). Further hydrogen bonds mediate the characteristic L-shaped molecular structure. tRNAs have two regions of fundamental functional importance: the anti-codon, which is responsible for specific mRNA codon recognition, and the 3' end, to which the tRNAs corresponding amino acid is attached (by aminoacyl-tRNA synthetases). tRNAs cope with the degeneracy of the genetic code in two manners: having more than one tRNA (with a specific anti-codon) for a particular amino acid; and 'wobble' base-pairing, i.e. permitting non-standard base-pairing at the 3rd anti-codon position. RNAcentral also lists the same sequence under 1 other name. Lineage: Eukaryota; Metazoa; Chordata; Mammalia; Artiodactyla; Camelidae. The record is from Rfam by way of RNAcentral.
GAGGGUAUAGCUCAAGUGGCAGAGUGCAUGCUUAGCAUGCAUGAGGGCCAUGGGUUCAAUCCCCAGUACCUCCU